Long non-coding RNA from Gallus gallus (chicken), 314 nucleotides. NCBI's taxonomy places the organism in Eukaryota, Metazoa, Chordata, Aves, Galliformes, Phasianidae. The record is from Ensembl.
UGUCCCAACUUAGAGGCUCGAAUGAAAGUUGAAUCAUAGUUGCAUUGCUGCACCAGCAGUUGCUGACCUACUGACCAUAUCUGUUCUGCCUCAAGAACUCUCCUCUUGUCAGGAAGCCACACAGCUCCUACGCUGAUGGCUACCGCAGCCUGACCUAUGAAGAUGUGCUCCUCGUCUCCUCUGUAGAUCUGCAGGAAGAGUUUUAUGACUUGACAAAACAGAAUAGAAUUCAGAAGAAGUCAGAGGAAAUGAGAAGAAUCAGGCUGCAGAAGCAAUAUGUGAUGCCACAGCCCCUCCCUGAAUCAAGGACUCAG